Molecule: ribosomal RNA, 492 nt
Filed under: uncultured bacterium
Lineage: Bacteria
Description: partial 16S ribosomal RNA
Rfam family: Bacterial small subunit ribosomal RNA
Source: RNAcentral
AGUGAACGCUGGCGGUAGGCCUAACACAUGCAAGUCGAACGGCAGCACAGUAAGAGCUUGCUCUUACGGGUGGCGAGUGGCGGACGGGUGAGGAAUACAUCGGAAUCUACCUUUUCGUGGGGGAUAACGUAGGGAAACUUACGCUAAUACCGCAUACGACCUACGGGUGAAAGCAGGGGAUCUUCGGACCUUGCGCGAUUGAAUGAGCCGAUGUCGGAUUAGCUAGUUGGCGGGGUAAAGGCCCACCAAGGCGACGAUCCGUAGCUGGUCUGAGAGGAUGGUACCGCGCCACGGAAGGUGAGCACCUGCCUAGGGACUGAGGGGAGGCCGAGGUGGGGAAUGUAGGAAAAAGGGGGGAAGCUUGAACAAUCCAUAGCGGGUGGGUGAAGAAGGCCCUCGGGUUGUAAAACCCUUUUGUGGGGAAAAAAAACCAGCGGGUUAAACCCCCCGUGUUUUACGGGUACCCAAAAAAAAACACCGGCUAAAUUCGGG